AAAGAUUGAAAUUUGUACUAUUUCGAAUUUUGGAUAAAUCUUUGUACAAUAAAUAUUACAAGGGAGACUGGAAUCGGAAACUCUUAUAAUCAAGCUUUAAUCGGAAGAGAAUCAUACAUGGAUCGACACUCAGUACAGUAACACAUAAUGCAGGAUGUCGAUGGACAUGUACACAAGCGUAUCCCCGACCAUAAACUUCCUCAAGAGCCCAAUGUCCCGGCAAGGCAGCUCAUUCCUCACCACUUCAUUCCGAAGAAGACCAACUUCAGAACUACUUCCAACCGCCAUCACCGAAGCUGCUGCUACACCGUUGCUGCACAAGGAACUAGAUGAUCAGGCUGAUGAUAAGGACGAAAAGUACCGUACACUGAAGCAACAGAGAUCCUCUGUUUUCUCACUCGGCAAUAUCCCUUCCGCCGCGGCCGACUACGAUCCGGCCGAAUUGCGCAGGAGCUCUUACGGGCAGGCGGUGCUGAACGGGGUGAACGUGCUGUGCGGGAUAGGGAUACUGUCGACGCCGUACGCGGUUAAAGAAGGAGGGUGGUUG
This 547-nucleotide long non-coding RNA is filed under the name Linum usitatissimum (flax). Its description in RNAcentral is "long non-coding RNA (LUSI_LNC005445)". Lineage: Eukaryota; Viridiplantae; Streptophyta; Magnoliopsida; Malpighiales; Linaceae. The record is from RNAcentral.